Molecule: long non-coding RNA, 348 nt
Organism: Xiphophorus hellerii (green swordtail)
Lineage: Eukaryota; Metazoa; Chordata; Actinopteri; Cyprinodontiformes; Poeciliidae
Exons: 2
Source: RefSeq, a predicted model, not a curated record
UGUGAAAGCCAAAAUAUGCUUUUCAUUUUGUCACUAGUAGGGGCCAUCCAUUAGGAGGACAGGGGAAAAAGAAGCAGUGUGACCAGCACCGGAGGACAUCGAUUCUCUUCCAGCAGCGACAGAGAAGCUAGUCCUAGCUCGAGGAAAGAUGGAUGGGGCUAAAGACGAGACAAUCCUGUUAGAGGCAGCAGGAAAGUUGAAACUGGAGCAGAAAUUCGCCCUACAGCAAAACAAUGACCCUAAACAUACAGUCAAAGCUACAAAAGAACAACACUCGUGUGUUUGAACGGUCCAGUCAAGACCAAGAAUACAAAGCAGAAUAAAAAGCAACACUAAUGAAGCAGCAAA